AGAAGCAGGGACAGCUUGUGGCAAUCACCGACUUCUUCGGAAUGGGCGCAGCAGCAGCAGGAACCGGCUUUAAGCACAGAGGGAUGGAGUGGGGUUGUACUCGGUGAGGGAGUUUCUUUGCUUGAUCACAUUCGAGCGUGGAGAGAAGCGGCGGCGGGAGUUGGAGGCAAUCUUUAAUGGCUCCUCAAUCAAAUUAUGCAGAUAGAUGACAACAGCAACAACAUAAUUAUGGUCAACCAUCUGUUUCUCCAUAUUCUCAAAGUUAUACUGUGCGACAUUCGUCUUCUGUGGGAUAGCAACACUCGUCAAGAUUAUGCUGUGACUUUCUUCUUCUUCUUCUUCUUUAUNUUUUUUUUGUAGGAAUUGGUGAUUAUGCACGCAUCCAUUGAAAAGCUGUGGAGUUUUUUUUUUUUCAUGUAGAAGUUUUAUGUUGCCCCAACUUCAACUAUUGAUCGAGCGCAUUCAACCAAGGAAUUUUACUUAUAAAAAUUGAUGGAGUGCAUUCAACCGAAGAAUUUUGCUUGAUGAGGAGUAAUAUAUGCGGAACAGAGGAAUGACUUUACCAGGGGAAUCACGGGGAGCAGUGAGACGGCUUUCAUCAGAG
RNAcentral lists this long non-coding RNA (604 nucleotides) under Salvia miltiorrhiza (redroot sage). RNAcentral's name for it is "long non-coding RNA (SMIL_LNC004753)". The record is from RNAcentral. Lineage: Eukaryota; Viridiplantae; Streptophyta; Magnoliopsida; Lamiales; Lamiaceae.